This is a long non-coding RNA of Crotalus tigris (Tiger rattlesnake), 546 nucleotides long. RefSeq lists it as uncharacterized. NCBI's taxonomy places the organism in Eukaryota, Metazoa, Chordata, Lepidosauria, Squamata, Viperidae. The transcript has 4 exons. The record is from RefSeq and is a predicted model, not a curated record.
UUAACCUUGGUGCCUGUCCUAAAGAUACAUCUGGAGUGAAGAAAGAAGGAAAAAGUCUUCAGCUUUGUUGUUUCCUGGCAUAAAUAUUUCAAAGGAAAUUAAGCAACGGGACUGCAUUUUGAGGCAGUGCUUUUUAGAUUCUUAAGGCUAUUGAGGUCUCAGGAGACUGGCUUAAUUCUCAGGAGAAGCUCUCCCCAGUGCCUUCCCUUGGGAUGGAUGGAAGCAUGGGAAGCCAAGGAGAUCACACAUCACUGGAGAGAUGAUGCCAUGAUGGAAGACUGAAUACUUGCAGAUGGCCAAUGAACAUCUCCCUACGAAGAUGGUCAGCCUCUUAAUGUUUUUGGAUGCAUCAGAUCAAAGUUUAAAAUGCAGCUUCAUCUAGAUGAGAAAGAAGCAACAUGGGACCCAUCAGUGCCUCAUAGCUGCUUUGAAGUCAAGAAAAAGACAUCUGGAGAACUGGUCAUGGAUCUUCCAUGUCGACAUGUUAACACGUGGACUUAAAAGUGGUUUCUGAGCCUGUCUCCUGCUGUGAGAGUUACGGGCAAG